AGAGUUUGAUCAUGGCUCAGGAUGAACGCUAGCGACAGGCUUAACACAUGCAAGUCGAGGGGCAGCGAGGGAGUGGCAACACUUCUGUCGGCGACCGGCGCACGGGUGAGUAACGCGUAUGCAACCUGCCCUUCACAGGGGAUAACCGGGAGAAAUUCCGACUAAUACCGCAUACGUCCCCUGGGGCAUCCCCUGGGGAUGAAAGAAUUAUCGGUGAAGGAUGGGCAUGCGUGAUAUUAGGUAGUUGGCGGGGCAACGGCCACCAAGCCCACGAUAUCUAGGGGUUCUGAGAGGAAGGUCCCCCACAUUGGUACUGAGGACACGGACCAAACUCCGUACGGGAAGGCCAA
This 350-nucleotide ribosomal RNA is filed under the name uncultured bacterium. RNAcentral describes it as "bacterial SSU rRNA". It matches the Rfam family "Bacterial small subunit ribosomal RNA", at positions 8 to 351 of the family's 1533-position model. The record is from RNAcentral.